AGGAGUCGGUCAGAGCCUCCACCUCGGCUCGCAGCUGCAGCCAGGCGUCUCUUUUAGCGGGACCUAGUAGACCUGCAACACGACGUGGACGCAUUAGGAACCUCGAGGAAUCACGUGCACGGUACAAUUCUCUCUGGUGGUCUUACCCCCCACAUUGUUUUUGUAAGUGCUAUACAACUCUUUGACACGUCGGUAGCGGAAGGCCAGUUUCCUCAUCCAGUCGACGCCGCCGCGGACGCCUGUGGCGAGGCACAGAUUGGCGCUGGUCGCAGCUGCAUGGAAGCCAUCAGUUGCAAAACUCGCCGCAGCAACGCCAUCCAAGGCCGAGGCAACUCUUUGCAGGAUUAAAGCUUUCACCGAGGCCGCUGCUCGGCUGAAAUUGAUGACGCUGUUUGUGCAUGCGCCAGUUGACACCGCCACUUCAUGGUGUGAUUGUGAGUGCGGCUGUUUGUCUCGAUGUGCCCUGCGAUUGGCUGCUAACCAGUUCAGGGUGUACCCUGCCUCCUGCCCGUUGACAGGUGGGAUAGGCUCCAGAACUCCCUGCAACCCACGUGAGGAUAAGCAGCAAAGAAAAUGGAUGGAUCGAUAAAUAUACAGCAGGUCACAUUGAUCAAUCUUGCAGGUGGUCACCGGGGCUGAAGGAGCCGUCUGUGUCACUUGAGCCACUUUCAAAAAAAAAUAAAGGGUCGACCUUUGAACCCGACGGACGGGUGAGCGCCCAUGAACACAGUGCGUCUGAUGCUGCGUGCAAUCCCUCAGGGGAAGGAACCACCACAACAACAACAACAAAACUCCUGGAGCUGAUGUAGACCACCAUUUGGGCCCAGACCUCCACACUGAAAUGACCACUGCCUUCAACUUCUGAAAUCAGGGGCAGGACGAGCGCUCUUCAGCCUGCUCAUUAUCCCGGUGGUCUUCGUACGCGCCACUCGAUUGAGUUCGAGAGUGAAUGGAUCAGCGACGUGAUUUAAUGCAGCUUUCCUCAGUGGACACAAAUGAAAAGAGACGGAGGGGAGGCGGCCGGCCGGGCGGCCCGCGUAUCGUCUUCGGCCGAAGGCAAAGCAGAGAGAUAAUUGCACAAGUAAAUAUCAACAGAGAAAAGGGAGACGCGUAAAUGAUCCGCGUGCUUGGCCGACGGACACACUCCAGGACAAGAGUACUGGCUGGGCGACGGCAUUGUGACGUGAUUGUGUGACAAGAUACAAUAACUGCGAGAAUGUCACCAGCAGACAGAGAGAGCAGACCUUCUCCACCAUAUCUACUGGCAAGUCAAGUAUUUGCUCCCUCUCCUGGGCUAUGGGUCCACCAGUAAACAAACAUAAAAGUAAGGGCAUGUUGUGUAUUUACAACGAUGACAAAACCUUUCCUCAUAAAGUCCGCUAGAUUCACAGUAAUACAUAAUGGGAAAUAACAUUGGAGUCAUGGUGUUAUUACCUUUUAAGCAAAAGAUAUUUGAACACAAAUGGUGGAGCAACACGUGAAGUUGGGUCAUAUAACAAUGCUGACGGCAGGCAAAUUUUCUUUAUCCUCA
Syngnathoides biaculeatus (alligator pipefish) is the source of this 1531-nucleotide long non-coding RNA. RefSeq lists it as uncharacterized. The transcript has 9 exons. Lineage: Eukaryota; Metazoa; Chordata; Actinopteri; Syngnathiformes; Syngnathidae. The record is from RefSeq and is a predicted model, not a curated record.